This is a non-coding RNA of Pelobates cultripes (western spadefoot toad), 211 nucleotides long. NCBI's taxonomy places the organism in Eukaryota, Metazoa, Chordata, Amphibia, Anura, Pelobatidae. The record is from the annotation of a GenBank genome assembly.
GGGAAGGGAAUAUCUCCUAACACCUUUUAUGCCUGGGGGUGCCGUAACACAGACCAUUUGCAUAUCAGACUAAUUCCACCCAAAAGGACAGAACAGAUCCAAAAUGCAGGGCAGCUCUCUGCACGAGAGAUACAGCAACCCCAGAUGAUCAUUUCAGUGUUGUUAGGCAUAGUCAGUGAGAGCAAAAAACGAAUUGCAACAGAGUACUGAG